CCGCGUGUGUGAAGAAGGCCUUCGGGUUGUAAAGCACUUUCAGUUGUGAGGAAGGUGGUGUCGUUAAUAGCGGCAUCAUUUGACGUUAGCAACAGAAGAAGCACCGGCUAACUCCGUGCCAGCAGCCGCGGUAAUACGGAGGGUGCGAGCGUUAAUCGGAAUUACUGGGCGUAAAGCGCAUGCAGGUGGUUUGUUAAGUCAGAUGUGAAAGCCCGGGGCUCAACCUCGGAACUGCAUUUGAAACUGGCAGACUAGAGUACUGUAGAGGGGGUAGAAUUUCAGGUGUAGCGGUGAAAUGCGUAGAGAUCUGAAGGAAUACCGGUGGCGAAGGCGGCCCCCUGGACAGAUACUGACACUCAGAUGCGAAAGCGUGGGGAGCAAACAGGAUUAGAUACCCUUGGAG
This 403-nucleotide ribosomal RNA is filed under the name uncultured bacterium. RNAcentral describes it as "bacterial SSU rRNA". It matches the Rfam family "Bacterial small subunit ribosomal RNA", at positions 397 to 793 of the family's 1533-position model. The record is from RNAcentral.